This 433-nucleotide ribosomal RNA is filed under the name uncultured bacterium. RNAcentral's name for it is "partial 16S ribosomal RNA". It matches the Rfam family "Bacterial small subunit ribosomal RNA", at positions 29 to 507 of the family's 1533-position model. The record is from RNAcentral.
AACGAACGCUGGCGGCAUGCCUAACACAUGCAAGUCGAACGAGACCUUCGGGUCUAGUGGCGCACGGGUGCGUAACGCGUGGGAACCUGCCCUUAGGUUCGGAAUAACUCAGAGAAAUUUGAGCUAAUACCGGAUAAUGUCUUCGGACCAAAGAUUUAUCGCCUUUGGAUGGGCUCGCGUAGGAUUAGCUUGUUGGUGGGGUAAUGGCCUACCAAGGCGACGUUCCUUAGCUGGUCUGAGAGGAUGAUCAGCCACACUGGGACCGAGACACGGCCCAGACUCCUACGGGAGGCAGCAGUGGGGAAUAUUGGACAAUAGGCGAGAGCCUGAUCCAGCAAUGCCGCGUGAGUGAUGAAGGCCUUAGGGUUGUAAAGCUCUUUUACCAGGGAUGAUAAUGACAGUACCUGGAGAAUAAGCUCCGGCUAACUCCGUG